UGCAGAAGAAUGAAUGGAUCUCAAUGGAUGAGUGUCAAGAAAGUAGAAUUUAGGAGUUCCCAUUGUGGCGCAGCGGAAAUGAAUCCACUAGUAACCAUGAGGUUGCAGGUUUGAUCCCUGGCCUCACUCAGUAGGUUAAAGAUCUGGCGUUGCCGUGGGCUGUAGUGUACGUCACAGAAGUGGCUCAGAUUUAGUGUUGCUGUGGCUGUGGUGUAGGCUGGCAGUUACAGCUCCAAUUUGGCUUGAGAACUUCCAUGUGCUGCAUAUACAGCCCAAAAGAAAGGAAGAAAGAAAAGAAGGAAGGAAGGAGCAUUUAAAGGACUUAGUGACUGAAUGAUGUGGGAGUGAGAAAGUCCAGGGGGAUUCCCAGUUACUUGGCUUGGGUGAAUGGGUGGACAUACGAGAUAGGGAAUAAAGGAGGAGAAGGGGAGUUUUGAAAAUAGUAAGCUUGAGAUGAUUAUAGAAAACAUAAAAUAGACUCAGAAGGCAAUUGGAAUAAGAGCUAGCGGUCAGGGAAAGCUGUGGACUAGAGGCUUAUACACUUGGGCAACAUUUGAAGCAAAGAGAAUUCAUCUUUCCUCUCUGCAUCCCUGCCAAUGGCUUUGUUCAUGACCUCAUCAUCUGUCUUUUGGACCAUUAAAACAGCCUCCUUAUUGAUCUUCAAACUCUACCCUUUCCAGUUCAUUCUUCACAUUCCUAUCAGAGUGAUAUUUCUAAAAUACAAUUAAAUAUAGUCUGUCAUUUAAAACUUUCCGUGGCUCUCUACAAGUCUGCAAAAGAAAAAUCUAUACUUCUUGCUUUGGCUUUCUUGGCAGUUAGAGAAUAGAGCAGUUUCACGAAAGACACUUAUUUUUAUGUCAUACAGUGUAAGAUUCUAAUGCUUUACAAUUACUGUCAGGAUAUCUUGGAAAAGUGGUUCCCAAUCAUAUGUAUGUUGGUUACUCUCUGAAAAGACAAGGACAGAUGGCCAAGAUCCUAAGCCCCCAGAUUCUUGACAAGUUCUCUUCUACCAUCACCAUCGGAGGCACACCAAGAAAAAUAAUUGCUUUUUAUUACCAAUUAUGGAUUUGGCUCCAAACCCUAACAUAUUAUCCUAGAGAACUUGAAAGGACCACAUAAAAGCCACCUAGAACAAGCAAUUCUCAAAACUCUGGGUGAAACACAAGUGGAAGGGCUUCCUUGGCCCCUUGGUCCUAGACCUAUUCCAUAAUCAUUACCCUCAAAUAUUCAUCACCUAGUGACAAUAAAAAGCAACUAAAAAAAUGACCCAAGGGAACAGAAGCUUCUCACUGCCCUCUAAAGCUCUAAAGUAUGAGCCAGAGAUUUCACACUAUAAGCUGCUAUGGCAUAUUCUACUUGUAAACAGCUUUUGUUAGCCAAUGCAGGGAGGUCCCACACGAUAUUAAACAAACAAACAAACAAAUAAAAAAACCACAAAAACACUUUAUCCUUUCCCUGCCAUCAAAACAUGAAAAAUGGAGUUCCCGUUGUGGCACAGUGGAAACAAACCCGACUAGUAACCAUGAGGUUGUGGGUUCGACCCCUGGCCUUGCUCAGUGGGUUAAGGAUCUGGCAUUGCUAUAAGCUGGGGUGUAGGUUGUAGACGAGGCUCCUGUGUUGCUGUGACUGUGGCGAAGGCCAGUGGCUACAGCUCUGAUUAGACCCCUAGCCUGGGAAUCUCCAUAUGCUGUGGGUACGGCCCUGAAAAGCAAAAACAAAAACAAAGAGCAGAAAACAAAAACCCAUGAAAAAUGAACUUGCAGAACGGGUGGCAGUGCUCUUUACAUUUUGACAUUCAACAAUCAACUAGAACUAAAACAGUAUUCCUCUUUAGAUGAGGUCUUUGUCUUCCAGUUCCUCACCUCUGACCCAGUUCCCUCAUAUAGAUUAGUCCAGUGCUUCCCAAUCAUUAAUGUGCAUGCAAAUCACCUGGGGAAUCUUGUUAAAAUUCAAUUUCUGGAGUUGCCACUGUGGAGCAGUGGGUUAAGAAUCCAGCAUUGCCACAGCUAUGGCAUAGAUCACAGCUGCAGCUUGGAUUCCAUCCCUGACUCAGGAAACUCUGUAUGCCAUGGGUGCAGCUGAAAAAGAAAAAAAAAAAAUUCUGUUUCUGACCUGAUAGGUCUGGGAUGAGGUCCAAGAUUUGUUCCCAGGUAAUGCUGGUGCUGCUGGUGUAGGAACCACUGUUUGAGUGACAAGGAAUUAGAUAGGUAGCAUAGUAGUUAAGUGUUUCUCUGUGGAGCCACUAGUCUGGUUUUGGAUUCUGGUUCAGCCACUUACCAGCUGAAUCACCCUGGGGAAAUUUCCUACAUUAACUGUACCUCAGCUUCCUCAUUUACAAAAUGGUGCUAGUAAUUGUUCUUAACUAAAAGGAUUCUGGAGAAGAUUGAGUCAUUGUGUGUGACAGUCCUCAAAAGAGUUCCUGGCACACAGUAAGAAACCAAUGAGAGGUAACUGCUAUUAUUCAUUAAUGAAGUUAUAGUAGGUCCCUCCUUGCUUAAAAUUAUGGAAUGGUUUUCCAUUGUCCACUGGAUGAAGUUCAAACUCCUUGGCAUGGAUUACAAUGCCCUUUAUGACCUGACCUCUAUUUUCAUUUCCCACCUCAUCUCUCUGCCUAGCAAUGCACUCUAAUCUCUCUCAUCUUGAUCCCUCUACCCAUGGAGUUCCCCUUAGCUAGAAUACUCUUCCCUUUCUUUACCCAGUCAACUCCUAGAACUCAAGACAGCUCAAGUUGAGUUGGAAUUCUUCCCAGACAAUCCCCAUCACCACUGUGAGUUAAGUACCUAUCUUAUAUAUUCCCAGAGCUUCCAUAGCAAUCUCUGUCACAAUAUUUAUCACAUUAUAUUAUAAUAGUCAAAUUGUCUGUGUAUUCUUUGGGGAAACUACCACGAUUAUAAGCUUUCAGUAAGUGUCCACUCUGGAAUUAAUAAAUGAAUAAAUGACUAAAUAUGUUUCUUGGUGCUGCCAUAGAUCUCUGUGGACCCAAAUCCUUUGAUUAGACCUCCUUUUUUAUGGGUCAUUGAUCUUUGACCUUUAAGGAUCCAAACAGGCUAUAGCCCCAUCCCACCAUCCCAGGGAGGAACACAUGCUCACCACUGCCAUAACCCUGCCCAAGUAACUAGUAUCAUAGCAGUCCUCUGAUAAACAAUGCUCAUGCAUUGCAGAUGUUCUUGCAUUUCCAGAUUCAAGAAUAUGGCUCAUUGAGGUGUGAAUGUGGGGCUCAACCAUAAGCUAAAUUACUACCCAGCACAUUAAUUAAUUCUAAACCUAGAUUUAGCAAGUUCAAUUCAAAUUCAUCCUAGGUGCUUUUUAUAAGCCAUAUUCAUUUAGCCUUUUAAAUUCAUUAUCACGGCCUCAUAUGGAGGUUCCCAGGCUAGGGGUCGAAUUGGAGCUGUAGCUGCCAGCCUACACCACAGCCACAGCAACAUGGGAUCCGAGCCGCGUCUGCGACCUACACCACAGCUCACGGCAACACCGGAUCCUUAACCCACUGGGCGAGGCCAGGGAUCAAACCUGCAUCCUCAUCAGAUUCAUUUCCACUGAGCCACGAUGAGAACUCCUUUAACUCCAUUUUCCAAUCCAAAUUCGUGAUUGCAAAAUUUUAGGUGUUCUUCUAGGGAAAAGCCCAACUAGUAACCAUGAGGACGUGGUUUGAUCCCUGGCCCCAUUCAUUAGAUUAAAGAUCCAGCGUUGCCAUGAGCUGUGAUGUAGGUCACAGAUGUGGCUCAGAUCCUGUGUUGCUAUGGCUGCAGCAUAGGCUGGCAGCUGCGGCUGCAGCUCCGAUUCAACCCCAC
Molecule: long non-coding RNA, 3791 nt
Filed under: Sus scrofa (pig)
Lineage: Eukaryota; Metazoa; Chordata; Mammalia; Artiodactyla; Suidae
Description: lncRNA (ENSSSCG00005006608.1)
Source: RNAcentral